AAAACUUGCGGCCCUUUCUGCGUUUUCCGCCGCACCAUUGCAUAUUUUCUCUAUUAUUCUACAUUUUCGUUUAUUUUAAGAAUAUUAUAGACUACCCCAAAUAGAUUUGACUGCAAAUGUUAAAAGGUAUUAAGUUUAUGGGAUCUGUUUAGGCCAUUAAGUGCGGUUUUGGCAUGCCAAUUACGUGACUGAACCUGUUGUUGACCACAAAGCUAGAGCAGGAGCAAGGAACAAGCUUUAAACAGAACCUGGGGACAACAACAUUUUUGCUUGCUCCACCUUUGUAAAAGAGUCACCAUUCCUUUUUCGUCUCAUGGUGACAGAAUUUUCCCAGGCCUUGAUAUAGCCAACAAAAUCUUCUUCGAGCCAUUUUAACCUUUGGUCAUCAGCAGUAGUGAACUUUGCUUGUUGUGGCUUAUGAGCAAAGUUACAGGAAUUGCAAAUGUCAAAGAAACGAUCCAUGUUCCACACAAAUUUAGAAAAUUCUGUGUAACCCAUUUUUUUUAAAACAUGGCUGACAGAAUUGGAAAGAACCUGUGCAGCUAAACUGACACUCAUUUUUUCAAAAGAAUUUGGAUGGAUGUGCUCGUAAGAAAGUUUAUGUAAAUCCACCAAACAUUCUGGGCUUUGCUCAUUCUCACAAUAUAAAUCUUGCAUUGUGCUCCAUUGCAUAUAUUCACCAUUAUUCCAUAAUAAACGUGCCCCAUUAGA
Non-coding RNA from Ciona intestinalis (vase tunicate), 711 nucleotides. Lineage: Eukaryota; Metazoa; Chordata; Ascidiacea; Phlebobranchia; Cionidae. The record is from RefSeq and is a predicted model, not a curated record.